CCGAAAGCUAUUUAGGUAGCGCCUCGUGAAUUCAUCUCCGGGGGUAGAGCACUGUUUCGGCAAGGGGGUCAUCCCGACUUACCAACCCGAUGCAAACUGCGAAUACCGGAGAAUGUUAUCACGGGAGACACACGGCGGGUGCUAACGUCCGUCGUGAAGAGGGAAACAACCCAGACCGCCAGCUAAGGUCCCAAAGUCAUGGUUAAGUGGGAAACGAUGUGGGAAGGCCCAGACAGCCAGGAUGUUGGCUUAGAAGCAGCCAUCAUUUAAAGAAAGCGUAAUAGCUCACUGGUCGAGUCGGCCUGCGCGGAAGAUGUAACGGGGCUAAACCAUGCACCGAAGCUGCGGCAGCGACGCUUAUGCGUUGUUGGGUAGGGGAGCGUUCUGUAAGCCUGUGAAGGUGUGCUGUGAGGUAUGCUGGAGGUAUCAGAAGUGCGAAUGCUGACAUAAGUAACGAUAAAGCGGGUGAAAAGCCCGCUCGCCGGAAGACCAAGGGUUCCUGUCCAACGUUAAUCGGGGCAGGGUGAGUCGACCCCUAAGGCGAGGCCGAAAGGCGUAGUCGAUGGGAAACAGGUUAAUAUUCCUGUACUUGGUGUUACUGCGAAGGGGGGACGGAGAAGGCUAUGUUGGCCGGGCGACGGUUGUCCCGGUUUAAGCGUGUAGGCUGGUUUUCCAGGCAAAUCCGGAAAAUCAAGGCCGAGGCGUGAUGACGAGGCACUACGGUGCUGAAGCAACAAAUGCCCUGCUUCCAGGAAAAGCCUCUAAGCAUCAGGUAACAUCAAAUCGUACCCCAAACCGACACAGGUGGUCAGGUAGAGAAUACCAAGGCGCUUGAGAGAACUCGGGUGAAGGAACUAGGCAAAAUGGUGCCGUAACUUCGGGAGAAGGCACGCUGAUACGUAGGUGAAGCGACUUGCUCGUGGAGCUGAAAUCAGUCGAAGAUACCAGCUGGCUGCAACUGUUUAUUAAAAACACAGCACUGUGCAAACACGAAAGUGGACGUAUACGGUGUGACGCCUGCCCGGUGCCGGAAGGUUAAUUGAUGGGGUUAGCGCAAGCGAAGCUCUUGAUCGAAGCCCCGGUAAACGGCGGCCGUAACUAUAACGGUCCUAAGGUAGCGAAAUUCCUUGUCGGGUAAGUUCCGACCUGCACGAAUGGCGUAAUGAUGGCCAGGCUGUCUCCACCCGAGACUCAGUGAAAUUGAACUCGCUGUGAAGAUGCAGUGUACCCGCGGCAAGACGGAAAGACCCCGUGAACCUUUACUAUAGCUUGACACUGAACAUUGAGCCUUGAUGUGUAGGAUAGGUGGGAGGCUUUGAAGUGUGGACGCCAGUCUGCAUGGAGCCGACCUUGAAAUACCACCCUUUAAUGUUUGAUGUUCUAACGUGGACCCGUGAUCCGGGUUGCGGACAGUGUCUGGUGGGUAGUUUGACUGGGGCGGUCUCCUCCUAAAGAGUAACGGAGGAGCACGAAGGUUGGCUAAUCCUGGUCGGACAUCAGGAGGUUAGUGCAAUGGCAUAAGCCAGCUUGACUGCGAGCGUGACGGCGCGAGCAGGUGCGAAAGCAGGUCAUAGUGAUCCGGUGGUUCUGAAUGGAAGGGCCAUCGCUCAACGGAUAAAAGGUACUCCGGGGAUAACAGGCUGAUACCGCCCAAGAGUUCAUAUCGACGGCGGUGUUUGGCACCUCGAUGUCGGCUCAUCACAUCCUGGGGCUGAAGUAGGUCCCAAGGGUAUGGCUGUUCGCCAUUUAAAGUGGUACGCGAGCUGGGUUUAGAACGUCGUGAGACAGUUCGGUCCCUAUCUGCCGUGGGCGCUGGAGAACUGAGGGGGGCUGCUCCUAGUACGAGAGGACCGGAGUGGACGCAUCACUGGUGUUCGGGUUGUCAUGCCAAUGGCACUGCCCGGUAGCUAAAUGCGGAAGAGAUAAGUGCUGAAAGCAUCUAAGCACGAAACUUGCCCCGAGAUGAGUUCUCCCUGACCCUUUAAGGGUCCUGAAGGAACGUUGAAGACGACGACGUUGAUAGGCCGGGUGUGUAAGCGCAGCGAUGCGUUGAGCUAACCGGUACUAAUGAACCGUGAGGCUUAACCUU
Molecule: ribosomal RNA, 2089 nt
Filed under: Shigella flexneri
Lineage: Bacteria; Pseudomonadati; Pseudomonadota; Gammaproteobacteria; Enterobacterales; Enterobacteriaceae
Description: partial 23S ribosomal RNA
Rfam family: Bacterial large subunit ribosomal RNA
Source: RNAcentral